This 492-nucleotide ribosomal RNA is filed under the name uncultured bacterium. RNAcentral's name for it is "partial 16S ribosomal RNA". It matches the Rfam family "Bacterial small subunit ribosomal RNA", at positions 29 to 507 of the family's 1533-position model. The record is from RNAcentral.
AUUGAACGCUGGCGGCAUGCUUUACACAUGCAAGUCGAACGGUAACUGGCCUUCGGGUGCUGACGAGUGGCGUACGGGUGAGUAAUGCAUCGUUACGUUCCCAGAGGUUGGGGAUAACGCAGCGUAAGCUGUGCUAAUACCGCCUGUGAUCUGAGUAUGCACGCGUGGGACCGGGCGGCAAUGUUUGGCCUCGCGCCUUUGUAGCGGCCUAUGUCAGAUUAGGUAGUUGGCGGGGUAAAGGCCUACCUAGCCGACGAUCUGUAGCUGGUAUGAGAGGACGAACAGACAGACGGGGACUGAGAAACGGCAGAGACUCCGACGGGAGGCAGCAGUGGGGAAUGUUGGACGAGGGGGGAGAGGGUGAUACAGCAAAGCCGGGGGCGGGAAGAAGGAGUUAGGGUGGGAGAGCGAUGAUGGACGGAGCGAAAAGAAGCUGGCUAAUACGGGAGGAUGAUGACGGUACCGGAAGAAUAAGCACCGGCUAACUACGUG